Molecule: ribosomal RNA, 253 nt
Filed under: uncultured bacterium
Lineage: Bacteria
Description: partial 16S ribosomal RNA
Rfam family: Bacterial small subunit ribosomal RNA
Source: RNAcentral
GACAGAGGAUGCAAGCGUUAUCCGGAAUGAUUGGGCGUAAAGCGUCUGUAGGUGGCUUUUUAAGUCCGCCGUCAAAUCCCAGGGCUCAACCCUGGACAGGCGGUGGAAACUACCAAGCUGGAGUACGGUAGGGGCAGAGGGAAUUUCCGGUGGAGCGGUGAAAUGCGUAGAGAUCGGGAGGAACACCUGUGGCGAAGGCGGCCCCCUGGGCCGGCCCUGACACUGAGACGCGAAGGCGUGGGGAGCGAACGGG